Molecule: ribosomal RNA, 1398 nt
Filed under: Salmonella enterica subsp. enterica serovar Enteritidis
Lineage: Bacteria; Pseudomonadati; Pseudomonadota; Gammaproteobacteria; Enterobacterales; Enterobacteriaceae
Description: partial 23S ribosomal RNA
Rfam family: Bacterial large subunit ribosomal RNA
Source: RNAcentral
GGGAAACGGGUUAAUAUUCCCGUACUUGGUGUUACUGCGAAGGGGGGACGGAGAAGGCUAUGUUGGCCGGGCGACGGUUGUCCCGGUUUAAGCGUGUAGGCUGGUUUUCCAGGCAAAUCCGGAAAAUCAAGGCUGAGGCGUGAUGACGAGGCACUACGGUGCUGAAGCAACAAAUGCCCUGCUUCCAGGAAAAGCCUCUAAGCAUCAGGUAACAUCAAAUCGUACCCCAAACCGACACAGGUGGUCAGGUAGAGAAUACCAAGGCGCUUGAGAGAACUCGGGUGAAGGAACUAGGCAAAAUGGUGCCGUAACUUCGGGAGAAGGCACGCUGACACGUAGGUGAAGUGAUUUACUCAUGGAGCUGAAGUCAGUCGAAGAUACCAGCUGGCUGCAACUGUUUAUUAAAAACACAGCACUGUGCAAACACGAAAGUGGACGUAUACGGUGUGACGCCUGCCCGGUGCCGGAAGGUUAAUUGAUGGGGUCAGCGCAAGCGAAGCUCCUGAUCGAAGCCCCGGUAAACGGCGGCCGUAACUAUAACGGUCCUAAGGUAGCGAAAUUCCUUGUCGGGUAAGUUCCGACCUGCACGAAUGGCGUAAUGAUGGCCAGGCUGUCUCCACCCGAGACUCAGUGAAAUUGAACUCGCUGUGAAGAUGCAGUGUACCCGCGGCAAGACGGAAAGACCCCGUGAACCUUUACUAUAGCUUGACACUGAACAUUGAGCCUUGAUGUGUAGGAUAGGUGGGAGGCUUUGAAGUGUGGACGCCAGUCUGCAUGGAGCCGACCUUGAAAUACCACCCUUUAAUGUUUGAUGUUCUAACGUGGACCCGUUACCCGGGUUGCGGACAGUGUCUGGUGGGUAGUUUGACUGGGGCGGUCUCCUCCUAAAGAGUAACGGAGGAGCACGAAGGUUGGCUAAUCCUGGUCGGACAUCAGGAGGUUAGUGCAAUGGCAUAAGCCAGCUUGACUGCGAGCGUGACGGCGCGAGCAGGUGCGAAAGCAGGUCAUAGUGAUCCGGUGGUUCUGAAUGGAAGGGCCAUCGCUCAACGGAUAAAAGGUACUCCGGGGAUAACAGGCUGAUACCGCCCAAGAGUUCAUAUCGACGGCGGUGUUUGGCACCUCGAUGUCGGCUCAUCACAUCCUGGGGCUGAAGUAGGUCCCAAGGGUAUGGCUGUUCGCCAUUUAAAGUGGUACGCGAGCUGGGUUUAGAACGUCGUGAGACAGUUCGGUCCCUAUCUGCCGUGGGCGCUGGAGAACUGAGGGGGGCUGCUCCUAGUACGAGAGGACCGGAGUGGACGCAUCACUGGUGUUCGGGUUGUCAUGCCAAUGGCACUGCCCGGUAGCUAAAUGCGGAAGAGAUAAGUGCUGAAAGCAUCUAAGCACGAAACUUGCCCCGAG